CGCAUGCCGGAGGGGUAACCCACUGGUAUGACGGAGCGGCGAACGGGUGAGUAACACUUGAGCAACCUGCCCCGCAGACCGGGAUAGCCCAGGGAAACCUGGAUUAAUACCGGAUACCCUCACGGAAUCGCAUGAUUCGGUGAGGAAAAGCUUUUGCGCUGUGGGAUGGGCUCGAGGCUUACCAGCUAGUUGGUGGGGUAACGGCCUACCAAGGCAUCGACGAGUAGCUGGUCUGAGAGGACGACCAGCCACACUGGGACUGAGACACGGCCCAGACUCCUACGGGAGGCAGCAGCAGGGAAUCUUGCGCAAUGGGCGAAAGCCUGACGCAGCAACGCCGCGUGGGGGAUGACGGCCUUCGGGUUGUAAACCCCUUUCAGGAGGGAAGAAAUUGACGGUACCUCCAGAAGAAGCACCGGCCAACUACGUGCCAGCAGCCGCGGUAAUACGUAGGGUGCAAGCGUUAUCCGGAAUCAUUGGGCGUAAAGAGCUCGUAGGCGGUUCAGCAAGUCGGCUGUGAAAUUCCGAGGCUCAACCUCGGAACUGCAGUCGAUACUGCUGUGACUCGAGUCCGGUAGAGGAGAAUGGAAUUCAGGGUGUAGCGGUGAAAUGCGCAGAUAUCCUGAGGAACACCAGUAGCGAAGGCGGUUCUCUGGGCCGGUACUGACGCUGAGGAGCGAAAGCGUGGGUAGCAAACAGGAUUAGAUACCCUGGUAGUCCACGCCGUAAACGUUGGACACUAGGUGUGGCGUUCCGACCAACGGGUGCCGUGCCGAAGCUAACGCAUUAAGUGUCCCGCCU
Molecule: ribosomal RNA, 801 nt
Filed under: uncultured bacterium
Lineage: Bacteria
Description: bacterial SSU rRNA
Rfam family: Bacterial small subunit ribosomal RNA
Source: RNAcentral